UUAUGGCCAUAUCACGUUGAAACACCGGUUCUCGUAAGAUCAACGAUGAUAAGCAACGUCGAGCUUGAUGAGUACCUAGAUGACAGACCACUUGCGAAUACCAGAUGCUGUU
Molecule: non-coding RNA, 112 nt
Organism: Acanthosepion pharaonis
Lineage: Eukaryota; Metazoa; Mollusca; Cephalopoda; Sepiida; Sepiidae
Source: the annotation of a GenBank genome assembly